Molecule: ribosomal RNA, 496 nt
Filed under: uncultured bacterium
Lineage: Bacteria
Description: bacterial SSU rRNA
Rfam family: Bacterial small subunit ribosomal RNA
Source: RNAcentral
GGCUCAGAGUGAACGCUGGCGGCAGGCCUAAUACAUGCAAGUCGAACGGCAGCACAGCAGAGCUUGCUCUGUGGGUGGCGAGUGGCGGACGGGUGAGGAAUACGUGGGAAUCUGCCCAGUCGUGGGGGAUAACGUAGGGAAACUUACGCUAAUACCGCAUGCGCCCUUCGGGGGAAAGCCGGGGACCUUCGGGCCUGGCGCGAUUGGAUGAGCCCACGUCGGAUUAGCUAGUUGGCGGGUAAAGGCCCACCAAGGCGACGAUCCGUAGCUGGUCUGAGAGGAUGAUCAGCCACACUGGAACUGAGACACGGUCCAGACUCCUACGGGAGGCAGCAGUAGGGAAUAUUGGACAAUGGGCGCAAGCCUGAUCCAGCCAUGCCGCGUGAGUGAAGAAGGCCCUCGGGUUGUAAAGCUCUUUUGUCCGGAAAGAAAAGCGCCGGGUUAAUACCCUGGUGUCCUGACGGUACCGGAAGAAUAAGCACCGGCUAACUUCGUG